Molecule: long non-coding RNA, 288 nt
Filed under: Bos taurus (domestic cattle)
Lineage: Eukaryota; Metazoa; Chordata; Mammalia; Artiodactyla; Bovidae
Description: long non-coding RNA NONBTAT016727
Source: RNAcentral
CUUUGAAAAAGUAAAAUCUUGUCCAGUGCAGAGUCAGUAAUGCAGAGUUUCAUUUAGAAUGAUUUUACUGUAUAGACAUUAAAAUAAUUUAAAGGUAUAACUAUACCUUUAAAUAAUUUAAUUGAAUUAGUACAUUUUACAUGUUUUAUUCAGCAUUAUAGAAACAUUCAAAAUAUAAAAUGUUAGUUAUUUUUUAAAAUUUCCGUCAAAAUAUCAGAAAUCUUUGUUAUGAAAUUUUCCAGGCCAUCAUACCUUUAGUUACAGGGGAUGGUAUGGAUUCUAUUUUUU